GACGAACGCUGGCGGCGUGCCUAACACAUGCAAGUCGAGCGGAGAUAAGCGGAAGGUAACUGAAGCUUAUCUUAGCGGCGGACGGGUGAGUAACACGUGGGCAACCUGCCUUGAAGUGGGGGAUAACACCGGGAAAUCGGUGCUAAUACCGCAUAACAUACACAAACUGCAUGGUAAGUGUAUCAAAGGAGCAAUCCGCUUUAAGAUGGGCCCGCGGCUGAUUAGCUAGUUGGUAAGGUAACGGCUUACCAAGGCGACGAUCAGUAGCCGACCUGAGAGGGUGACCGGCCACACUGGAACUGAGACACGGUCCAGACUCCUACGGGGAGGCAGCAGGUGGGGAAUAUUGCGCAAUGGGGGGAACCCUGACGCAGCAACGCCGCGUGGAGGAAGAAGGUCUUCGGAUUGUAAACUCCUGUCUUCUGGGACGAAUAAUGACGGUACCAGAGGAGGAAGCCACGGCUAACUACGUG
This 473-nucleotide ribosomal RNA is filed under the name uncultured bacterium. RNAcentral describes it as "bacterial SSU rRNA". It matches the Rfam family "Bacterial small subunit ribosomal RNA", at positions 28 to 507 of the family's 1533-position model. The record is from RNAcentral.